RNAcentral lists this ribosomal RNA (463 nucleotides) under Selenomonas sp. oral taxon H23. RNAcentral describes it as "bacterial SSU rRNA". It matches the Rfam family "Bacterial small subunit ribosomal RNA", at positions 28 to 470 of the family's 1533-position model. The record is from RNAcentral. Lineage: Bacteria; Bacillati; Bacillota; Negativicutes; Selenomonadales; Selenomonadaceae.
GACGAACGCUGGCGGCGUGCUUAACACAUGCAAGUCGAACGGAGCGAAUGAAAGCUUGCUUUUAUGAGCUUAGUGGCAAACGGGUGAGUAACACGUAGACAACCUGCCGAUCAGAUGGGGACAACAUUCCGAAAGGAAUGCUAAUACCGAAUGAAGUGUGGGGGAGGCAUCUUCCCUACAUGAAAGAUGGCCUCUAUAUAUAAGCUAUCACUGAUCGAUGGGUCUGCGUCUGAUUAGCUAGUAGGUAAGGUAACGGCUUACCUAGGCGACGAUCAGUAGCCGGUCUGAGAGGAUGAACGGCCACAUUGGGACUGAGACACGGCCCAGACUCCUACGGGAGGCAGCAGUGGGGAAUCUUCCGCAAUGGGCGCAAGCCUGACGGAGCAACGCCGCGUGAGUGAAGAAGGUCUUCGGAUCGUAAAGCUCUGUUGAAGGGGACGAACGUAUAUAGUGCGAAUAGUGC